RNAcentral lists this long non-coding RNA (1985 nucleotides) under Marmota monax (woodchuck). The record is from RNAcentral. Lineage: Eukaryota; Metazoa; Chordata; Mammalia; Rodentia; Sciuridae.
GUUUAUUUUUUAUGUGAUGCUGAGGAUCAAACCCAGGGCCUCACACAUGCUAGGCAAGCGGUCUGCCACUGAGCCACAACCCCAGCCCUCAAUCACAAACUUUUUAAUACUUUAAUUUGUUUAAUCAUUUUCUCUCCCUCUCUUAAAUAUAACAUACUUCCUGCGUUUGUAACUAGCAUAAUGAUUAUUUAACCCUUUCUCAAUUAUACUUGGUAAUAGUAUACUGGACUCACUAUCUCACUUAGUCUACAGAAUGGCCCUGUGAACUAUAUAACUCCUUAUUUACCAUUUUCAGUGAAACAGGGUCUUGCUCUGUUGCCCAGGUUGGCUGCAAACCCCUAGGCUCAGAUUCCUCCUGAUUCAUCCUCUCACAUAGCUAGACUAGAGGCACAAACUACUCUUCCAGGCUGAUAGCUAUUUAUAUCCCAUUUUUUAGAUAGUAAAACUGAAGUUUAGAAAAACUAACUUAAUUCACCAAGACAUUGAUUGCUUUUCAAACUGCCUUUGAAAACUACUCUCCCUUUAAUUAAUUUCACAAUUAUUUUUUAAUAUCUGUGCUGAGUAUUAGGGAACAGAAUAGGCAAGGCCCAUACCCUCACAGAGCUUGUAUUCUAGAGUAUUGAGACAGACAAAUCAGAAAAUACCAGAUUCUUGAUAAAUGCUAUACAGAAAAUUAAAAUAGUAAUGUGAUAGUGACUGAUUGACUACUCUAGAUUGGGUGGUUGAGGGAGGCCUUAAUUUUAAGCUGCAAUGUGACAACUCCCUGAACAAGAACCUUUUUGUCAUCUUCAUUGCCUGGCACACAGUAGGUCCAGAUGAUGAUCAAUGGAUGUGUAAACAGCUUCCAAGGCAGUUUUAUAUCAUGAAUGCUUACCAUGUGUUCAACAUGCCUAGAGUUUUCUGCUUUGUUUUGUUCUGUGUUUUGAUAACUUAGCUUCAUGAACCUGGCUCAGUCUUUGGAGCAUUGAGCUAAAUUUCUAAAUCUUUUGCUUACUGGCCAUGUAAGUUAGAAAAGGGCUCCUUUGUAACUUGCCUGCAUUUUUGUAGGUUCUCUCUUAGCUAAUUGUUAGUUGUUAUUCUUUGUCGUUGUGUAUAAUCUUGUAGCUAAAAAGCCCUAGUUUUGUGCAAAAAACAAGAUAACCGUGUGUUUUUUUCUUAAGAAUUGUGUAUAGUUCAGCAAACCCAAAAACAGCUUUCUCCAACAAGAAAUGCUUAAUGUAAAAUUUGUCAAAAGAAAUGUGGGUUUCUGGAAGGCCUUCUUUAACUUGUUCUACUGAGAUUGUUGGGAUAGUUGAAGCCCUCAGACAACUGAAAUUGUGUGAAGUGACCUAAGUAUUACUAUAAAUAAGUAUUUUAUUUAAGCAGUUCUUUACACUCAGAGUAGAAAAUAUGCAGAAUAGAAAUGGGAUUAGGAUAUUGAGCAGAACGUUGGACUUAAAAGAGGCAUAGCCAUAGCACAUCUUUACCAUAGUGAAAUUGCUAAAGCAGAUUGCAGAAUAAAUUACAUUUUCUCCUUCCUCCUUUUUCCUCCAUUCUUUGCAAAGAAUUAGGUGUGAAAAUAGCAACCAGGACAAAAUAGAAAGUAUAGAGUUGGGGGCUGGGGUUGUGGUUCAGUAGUAGAGCGCUCACCUAGUAGGUAUGAGGUACUGGGUUUGAUCUUUAGCACCACAUUAAACAAAUAAAGGUAUUGUGUCCACCUACAACUAAAAAAUAUAUUUCUUUAAAAAAAGGAAGAAAGUAUAGAGUUGGGCUCAUAAUCUUAAAGCAAAGUAUUUUAUGCCUGAAGUCCUCUCCCUUCUUCGUCCACUGUCAAAAAGUGCUCAGGUUGAUAGUUCUUAACCCAGCUUCACUUGACAAUCAACUAAUGUUAAAAACAAAAAUAAGACCAGGCCUGGUGGCACACACCUGUCAUCCCAGUGGCUCAGGAGGCUGAGGCAGGGGGAUUGUGAGUUCAAAACCAGCUUCAGCAAACAUGAAGCACAAAG